RNAcentral lists this ribosomal RNA (800 nucleotides) under Bacillus sp. 728KF. RNAcentral's name for it is "bacterial SSU rRNA". It matches the Rfam family "Bacterial small subunit ribosomal RNA", at positions 26 to 808 of the family's 1533-position model. Lineage: Bacteria; Bacillati; Bacillota; Bacilli; Caryophanales; Bacillaceae. The record is from RNAcentral.
AGGAAAAAUCCCUGGNNGGCGUGCCUAAUACAUGCAAGUCGAGCGAAUCGAUGGGAGCUUGCUCCCUGAGAUUAGCGGCGGACGGGUGAGUAACACGUGGGCAACCUGCCUAUAAGACUGGGAUAACUUCGGGAAACCGGAGCUAAUACCGGAUACGUUCUUUUCUCGCAUGAGAGAAGAUGGAAAGACGGUUUACGCUGUCACUUAUAGAUGGGCCCGCGGCGCAUUAGCUAGUUGGUGAGGUAAUGGCUCACCAAGGCGACGAUGCGUAGCCGACCUGAGAGGGUGAUCGGCCACACUGGGACUGAGACACGGCCCAAACUCCUACGGGAGGCAGCAGUAGGGAAUCUUCCGCAAUGGACAAAAGUCUGACGGAGCAACGCCGCGUGAACGAAGAAGGCCUUCGGGUCGUAAAGUUCUGUUGUUAGGGAAGAACAAGUACCAGAGUAACUGCUGGUACCUUGACGGUACCUAACCAGAAAGCCACGGCUAACUACGUGCCAGCAGCCCGCGGUAAUACGUAGGUGGCAAGCGUUGUCCCGGAAUUAUUGGGCGUAAAGCGCGCGCAGGUGGUUCCUUAAGUCUGAUGUGAAAGCCCACGGCUCAACCGUGGAGGGUCAUUGGAAACUGGGGAACUUGAGUGCAAAGAGGAAAGUGGAAUUCCAGUGUACCGGUGAAUUGCGUAGAGAUUUGGAGGAACACCCGUUGGCCGAUGCGACUUUCUGCUCUGUAACUGAACAUUGAGGGCCCAAAGCUGGGGAAGAAACAGGAUAAAAUCCCUGGUANUCCCCCGUUAAACA